This 2270-nucleotide long non-coding RNA is filed under the name Capra hircus (goat). RNAcentral describes it as "lncRNA (ENSCHIG00010021622.1)". The record is from RNAcentral. Lineage: Eukaryota; Metazoa; Chordata; Mammalia; Artiodactyla; Bovidae.
AUGGGCCUUUUGCAACAAAACCAUUCCCCUGGAAAGGUGACUUCCUUCCCCCAAUCAGGCACAAAUAUCUCUAGAGAAAAUGAGAGAGCUGUUGUCCUUAAUUAUGAUAUUUGCAGGAAAACAAACAAACAGAUUUAUCCAGGUCAGAAGCAGCAAGACCAAGUAGAUGCCUGUAGGGGCAUAUGGUUUCUCAUAUCACAAGCCAAAACCUAAGCAAAGCAUUUUUUAAAAUUAGGAUUUGACUUUUCCUUCCUUUUUAAAAAACACAGAGGUAAAUACACAUUCAUUUAAAUGAGUAUAAAUAUAAAAUGGGUAAAGAUAUGUUUUUAAUCACUCAUUUCCACCAUCCAGAGACUGCCAAUGGCAACAUGAUAUAUAUCCUCAAUGUUUUUCUAUAUGUACUAUAUAUAAACCUGUAUGAUCUUUUAAAACAAAUAUAAGAUCACACUCUUUUAUAACUUGCAUUUUCCAUUUAACAAAAUCCUGACUUCCCAUGUCUGUAGAUGGAUGGACUUCCCUGGUGGUUCAGAUGGUAAAGAAUCUGCCUGCAGUGCAGAAGACCNNNNNNNNNNNNNNNNNNNNNNAAGAUCCCCUGGAGAAGGGAAUGGCAACCCACUCCAGUAUUCUUGGCUGAAGAAUUCUAUGGACAGAGGAGCCCUGUAGGCUACAGUCCAUAGGUGGUGAAGAAUUGGACACGACUGAUUGACUAACACUUUUCAUGUCUGUAGAUAUCCAUUUGUUUUCAAUAUUUCAUUGUAUUUCUGUACUAUAAUUUAUUUAAACAAUCCACUAUUAGAUUGUCUCCAGUUUCUAAUAAACAAUGUGAUAUCACAUGCGAUGUUAGAGCUAAAUCAGUUUAAAGUGAAGUCACUCAGUUGCGUCCGACUCUUUGGGACCCCAUGGACUGCCUAUCAGGUUCCUCCAUCCGUGGGAUUUUCCAAGCAAAGAUACUGGAGUGGGUUGUCAUUUCACUCUUAAUUAUUUCCUAAGCUACAUCAUUAAAAGUGAGUUGCAGGGUAUGUACAUUUUCAAGGCUUUGCUGUAUUGACACAUAUUCCUCAAAAACCACUGUGCUAAUUUAUUCUCCUCCAGCAGUAUAAGACAGCAUUUCUCUGAACCUUUCCUAACACUGUGCAUUAUUAUUAUGACUAAAUGAAUAUUUUGUCACUUUGAUUUUAAAAAAUAGCAUCUCACUGUUUAAUUGGAUUUAUUUUAUUUCUAAUGAAAAGUUGCAUACUUGUUGGUCAUUAUUUUUUUGAAAAUUACUAAACAUUAUUAUCCAGUAGCCAAAAAUACAAAGUUGUUAUUCUGCUUUUUCAGUUUUAUAUGAGAGAAAUAAAGGCAUUUAAACAGUGGAAAUUAGAUUCUUGCAAGUCCCUAGGAAGAGUAUAUAAUCUGGAAAAGCAGAAGAGAGCUGAAAGCUGAAACUUAGGGUUUAUCUUGAGAUUUGUCAAGUAAUUAAUUAGUCACUUAGUUCUGCUAUAAAGUGAGACUGUCAUCUCUUCAUUCCCCUCACAUACAAUAGCCUCUCAAUAAAGAUGUGUGAAUCAGUUAACUGCUAUUUGCUGUAGGUAGAUAGAGGUAACCCAUGCUUGCUGCUGUAAGUAUAAAAGCCUGCAGUUCCUAUUGAGGACAGCAACUGAUUUUUCCAAGGCCUGAUUGCUUCUACAAAAAUUUUUUUUUAACAGGGAAUCAAAGAUGAACAAUGGUGUACUGACGUUUUACAUAUUGUUACUAUGCUGUGUAUGAAUGAGGCUAUUCAGGUAAAUCUAACAUAUAACUAAUGAGGACUUCUGCUCUUGUAAUAAUGGAUAGGAAAAUUGGGCUGACCAUCCCACUUAAGGCAACUAGAAAGGGUGGAAAAUAUUUUAAAAAUCCAAAGGCAUCAGCGAGCACAUGAGUAUUUUUUUUUAAGAAUAAAUAGACCAGGAUCACUGAGAAGAUGGAGGCCCUAGGAGGUGGACUUAAUGUUUUGGGCCACUGCACUCAUCAAACUUAAUGAGUUUCCUGCACUCAUCAAACUUGAAGGAAGCACUUCAGAGGCUGAUGGGUAUUUUGACAGCCUUCCAGAAGUAGGGGACAGAGCCUGUCUAAGGGGAGUAGACCUGGUGAAUGCCCCUCACUUUGGUUUGAAGCCCUUUACACCCCAGGAAUAGGGGUGAACAAGAAGUAGGAAAGAGAAAGACUUUCCUAGGGGAUUGCAGCUCAGCUUCCAAUUAUCAGAAUCACUGCAAAUGGUGACUGCAGCCAUGAAAUUAAAAGACACUUGC